This 254-nucleotide ribosomal RNA is filed under the name uncultured bacterium. RNAcentral's name for it is "partial 16S ribosomal RNA". It matches the Rfam family "Bacterial small subunit ribosomal RNA", at positions 524 to 776 of the family's 1533-position model. The record is from RNAcentral.
UACGUAGGCAGCAAGCGUUGUUCGGAGUUACUGGGCGUAAAGGGUGUGUAGGCGGUUGUUUAAGUUUGGUGUGAAAUCUCCCGGCUCAACUGGGAGGGUGCGCCGAAUACUGAAUGACUUCGAGUGCGGGAGAGGAAAGUGGAAUUCCUGGUGUAGCGGUGAAAUGCGUAGAUAUCAGGAGGAACACCGGUGGUGUAGACGGCUUUCUGGACCGUAACUGACGCUGAGACACGAAAGCGUGGGGAGCGAACAGG